GGAAAAGGAAAGCAUUCAACAAACAAACAAAAAUGAUUCACAAAUCAGGCAGCCCUCAGAACCAAAAGGUUCUAAGAACUCCUGAUCUACAGUGUGUUUAGGCAGUUUUUAUGGAUAGAAAAUAGAAGUGAGGCAAAAAGGACAACUUAAUUGUUACAGUUUAUUUCAAUUAGCUGGCCCCCUACAACUGAGGAAAGCUCAGCUACUGUAACUAACCAGAAUCCAGCUACCCAUAUACGAGUAUCCUCCCAAGUUAAUUGGUUUUACUAGCGUGAAGGACUCCAUAUUGGUUAGAUCUGUUGGGCCUAGAACAGGAACUUAGUCUAAAUCAAUGGCCUCCUACAAAUUUUAUUCAACAUUUUUUUUCAACUAUAAAAUGGGAAUAGUGACACCUCAGAGUGGUGGUGUAAGUUUUAAGGGGCACUAGGUAUAUAGAGAGCUUAGCUCUGUGACUGCCACAUAAGAGGCACAAAACCCAAAAUCCAUGAUGAAUAUUAUUUGAUAUAACUUCAAGCGUAAACUAGGGCAACUCUUACACGGUUUGACAUCUUGAAGUCUCUAAAUUUAUUUCUAAAUUUAAAAAAUAAUAAUGGCAUUAUUUUCCUUACAAUAAUGGCAAAGCACAAUGAUAUAAUGAGUUUUUUUUUUUCCCCGUCAACUACAACCACUACAUUGAAGAAUAGAAAUUUAAUUUGAACACUAGGACAUGGGAUAUUUGUCCUUCAGGAAUCUGUAGUUUCAUAAGUUCAGUGCCAAUAAAGGUUUUUGAGGCAGUCAUGUAGACGUGUUGAAAAAGAUUCUGACAGUCACCAUAAUAUGAGCUGGUGACUAUAACCCAGCCAUCUGAGUGUCUGUUCUGGUGUCCAGGGCCAAUACCAGCUCUGCAGUUCUGUCUUUUUUUUUCCCACAGGAAUGUAAGACUCAAAUGAGGAAAUGCAAUGAAAGCAAUUUGAAAAGUGUACAACACUGUGCAGAUAAUAGAAUUGUUAUGAGGCCUCUGUUCUGAAAGCCAGAGAAGAUAACACCCUAAAGAAAUAAUAGACCAUCUCAUAAAGAAGUUUCAUUGUUUU
RNAcentral lists this long non-coding RNA (1070 nucleotides) under Homo sapiens (human). RNAcentral's name for it is "HSALNT0066223". Lineage: Eukaryota; Metazoa; Chordata; Mammalia; Primates; Hominidae. The record is from RNAcentral.